RNAcentral lists this ribosomal RNA (200 nucleotides) under uncultured bacterium. RNAcentral describes it as "partial 16S ribosomal RNA". It matches the Rfam family "Bacterial small subunit ribosomal RNA", at positions 8 to 198 of the family's 1533-position model. The record is from RNAcentral.
AGAGUUUGAUCAUGGCUCAGGACGAACGCUGGCGGCGUGCUUAACACAUGCAAGUCGAACGAGAUCCAUCCGGUGGCAACACCGGAGAAGAUCUAGUGGCGAACGGGUGAGUAACACGUGAGGAACCUGCCCCGAAGACCGGGAUAACAGCGGGAAACCGCUGCUAAUACCGGAUACCCCCAUCGGACCACAUGGGCCGA